Long non-coding RNA from Clupea harengus (Atlantic herring), 576 nucleotides. The record is from Ensembl. NCBI's taxonomy places the organism in Eukaryota, Metazoa, Chordata, Actinopteri, Clupeiformes, Clupeidae.
AAGAGAGAAGAUGAACUGGAGAUUUGCUCUGUAACACUUAACUAACACUGACUACAUUUAAUGUGAGAACUACACUCCAUUCAGCCAAUAAUUAUCAUUGUGAGUUAGACUAACUAAUAGUUAACCGUAUAUGACAGUGACAGUUAUUUAGUCGGUGUUGAGUUACAGUUCAGAGAACUAUUAGGAGGACCUAGCAACCGCUUAGCUCUGAAUGCUAACUGGGCUCCAGCUAGCCUAGCAUUAGGUCGUUGGACAAGGGUGGCUUAUUCGGCAACCUACACAUCACAGCGUCCCUACUGCCCAGAAAACCCCAACGAGAAAGAGACAGCGGAGUCUAGGCAGUGGACAACUCUGGUCGGCAUCGUGGUGUGUGUUGAGGUCACGGGCUGUAUGAAGUCCUCGCUGUGAGACCGGUCUAACAGCAUAGGAGAUACUGAGAGUCUGGAGCCUAAACACUCUACCUGUGACAGGUAAGAGUGUGUGUACAGAUAAGAGUGUGUGACAUGUAAGAGUGUGUGUACAGGUAAGAGUGUGUGACAGGUAAGAGUGUUUGAAAGGUAAGAGUGUGUGACAGGU